This 252-nucleotide ribosomal RNA is filed under the name uncultured bacterium. RNAcentral describes it as "partial 16S ribosomal RNA". It matches the Rfam family "Bacterial small subunit ribosomal RNA", at positions 524 to 775 of the family's 1533-position model. The record is from RNAcentral.
UACGUAGGGUGCAAGCGUUAAUCGGAAUUACUGGGCGUAAAGCGUGCGCAGGCGGUUUUGUAAGUCUGACGUGAAAUCCCCGGGCUCAACCUGGGAAUUGCGUUGGAGACUGCAAGGCUAGAAUCUGGCAGAGGGGGGUAGAAUUCCACGUGUAGCAGUGAAAUGCGUAGAGAUGUGGAGGAACACCGAUGGCGAAGGCAGCCCCCUGGGUCAAGAUUGACGCUCAUGCACGAAAGCGUGGGGAGCAACAGG